AGGGAAUACAAAGGAGCUCCACUGAGGGUCACCGGGCACUUAGACAGAGCUGCCAUGAACUGAGUAGCCAUACUCUUCUCUUCUGCCAUGAUGUCCUGUCUCGCCUUAGGUCCAGAGUAAUGGAGUCAAUCAAACAUGGGCUAAAACCUCUGGACCAUGAAGUGAAAUAAAUCUUUCCUCCUGUAAGAUGUUUAUAUCAGCAUUUUGGUCCCAGCAAGGAAAAGCUAACACACACACCUGUAAUCCUAAUUACUUGGGAGGCUGAGGAGGAGGAUUAGAAGUUGGAGUAAUUCAGUAAGAGCUUGUUUCAAAAAACAACGACAAAAUAAAUAAAUAAAUAAAUAAAUAAAAAUAAAAAGUGCUGGGGGUGUAGCUCAGUGGUAUGGCAUCCCUGGGUUGAAUCCCCACCACUGGGGGGGAAAAAAAAUUUUGUUUUGAAUCAUAAAGAAGUGUUUCAAGAUAAUUCUCUUUGAUAUCACCCAUUUUACUGCCAUUUAAUAUAGCAAGAUACUUAUCAAGCAGUAUAGAAAAAGAAAGCUGUUUUGAAGAGAAACUGUUCUUAAAAUCUACUUCUGGGUGCACCAGUUUUCAUCCCUGCUUAACAGCUCCUCACUCUGAGCCCACCAUCUUGUCUCCCACUUUUUGUAUAGCGUUAUUGAGUUAUUUUUAUCCAGUUUUAAUUAUAGGCAAUUUUGUAGCCUGCCUUUUUGCACUUAAUGUUAGUUAUUACAUGUUUUCCAUACUGCUCAUUCUUUGUAAUUAUCAUUUUAAUGGUUUCUAAUAUUCCAUUAUCUGUCAUAAUUUAUGUUUUGUUGAUUGACAUUCAGAUGAAGAAGGGAAUUGCUAUUAGUUCAUCAUAGACUCUGUACCAGGUGCUGCCUACUGCAGGCUAUGUACAGGCAGGCACUUACUUGACCCUCAUAAUCCUGCUAUAACCUAGAAACUUGGGAAAUUAUUAGCAAAUUAACAAAGAUCUUAUAUUCUAGUAGUGUGUGUAUAUGUACUAUAAAAAGAUGCAUAAUAAAUGUAUAUUUAUUAUCAAAAGCA
This is a long non-coding RNA of Ictidomys tridecemlineatus (thirteen-lined ground squirrel), 1047 nucleotides long. RefSeq lists it as uncharacterized. The record is from RefSeq and is a predicted model, not a curated record. NCBI's taxonomy places the organism in Eukaryota, Metazoa, Chordata, Mammalia, Rodentia, Sciuridae.